AACGAACGCUGGCGGCAUGCCUAACACAUGCAAGUCGAACGAGACCUUCGGGUCUAGUGGCGCACGGGUGCGUAACGCGUGGGAAUCUACCCUUAGGUUCGGAAUAACUCAGGGAAACUUGAGCUAAUACCGGAUGAUGACUUCGGUCCAAAGAUUUAUCGCCUAAGGAUGAGCCCGCGUAGGAUUAGCUAGUUGGUGAGGUAAAGGCUCACCAAGGCUACGAUCCUUAGCUGGCUGAGAGGAUGAUCAGCCACACUGGGACUGAGACACGGCCCAGACUCCUACGGGAGGCAGCAGUGGGGAAUAUUGGACAAUGGGCGAAAGCCUGAUCCAGCAAUGCCGCGUGAGUGAUGAAGGCCUUAGGGUUGUAAAGCUCUUUUACCCGGGAUGAUAAUGACAGUACCGGGAGAAUAAGCUCCGGCUAACUCCGUGCCAGCAGCCGCCGUAAU
Molecule: ribosomal RNA, 449 nt
Filed under: uncultured bacterium
Lineage: Bacteria
Description: bacterial SSU rRNA
Rfam family: Bacterial small subunit ribosomal RNA
Source: RNAcentral